CAGCACCUCAAGUGGUCAGGAUGAUUAUUGGGCCUAAAGCAUCCGUAGCCGGCGCUGUAAGUUUUCGGUUAAAUCUGUACGCUCAACGUACAGGCUGCCGGGAAUACUGCAGCGCUAGGGAGUGGGAGAGGUAGACGGUACUCGGUAGGAAGGGGUAAAAUCCUUUGAUCUAUUGAUGACCACCUGUGGCGAAGGCGGUCUACCAGAACACGUCCGACGGUGAGGGUUGAAAGCUGGGGGAGCAAACCGGAUUAGAUACCCGAGUAGUCC
Molecule: ribosomal RNA, 270 nt
Filed under: uncultured archaeon
Lineage: Archaea
Description: partial 16S ribosomal RNA
Rfam family: Archaeal small subunit ribosomal RNA
Source: RNAcentral